This 497-nucleotide ribosomal RNA is filed under the name uncultured bacterium. RNAcentral's name for it is "partial 16S ribosomal RNA". It matches the Rfam family "Bacterial small subunit ribosomal RNA", at positions 28 to 507 of the family's 1533-position model. The record is from RNAcentral.
GAUGAACGCUGGCGGCGUGCCUAAUACAUGCAAGUCGAGCGAACAGACGAGGAGCUUGCUCCUCUGACGUUAUCGUCGGACGGGUGAGUAACACGUGGAUAACCUACCUAUAAGACUGGGAUAACUUCGGUAAACCGGAGCUCAUACCAGAUAAUAUAUUUAACCGCAUGGUUCAAUAGUGAAAGACGGUUUUGCUUUCACUUAUAGAUUGAUCCGCGCCGCAUUAGCUAGUUGGUAAGGUAACGGCUUACCAAGGCGACGAUGCGUAGCCGACCUGAGAGGGUGAUCGGCCAAACUGGAACUGAGACACGGUCAAGACUCCUACGGGAGGCAGAAGUAGGGAAUCUUCCGAAAUGGGCGAAAGCCUGACGGAGAAACGCCGCGUGAGUGAGGAAGGUCUUCGGAUCGUAAAACUCGGUUAUUAGGGAAGAACAAAUGUGUAAGUAACGAUGCACGGCUUGACGGUACCUAAUCAGAAAGCCACGGCUAACUACGUG